GAAAACCAUAGCAAUGAAUUGAUACCCACAAUAACCUUGAAAUCAUCCUCCAAGGAUCUUUUUAUGUACUUUUGAAAAUUAAACUUACUUCCAGGUGCUAAAUGGACUUUUGAGAGAUUCAUUGAUGACAGCGAUGAGAGCAAAUUUGUUGAGGUUGGAGAGUAUUCAUCGCUAAUAUGAGCGCCUUCUUACUCAAUUCGAC
This 202-nucleotide unclassified non-coding RNA is filed under the name Hevea brasiliensis (rubber tree). The record is from RNAcentral. Lineage: Eukaryota; Viridiplantae; Streptophyta; Magnoliopsida; Malpighiales; Euphorbiaceae.